CCCCUCGAUGAUGAAGAACUCGUUGAGUAUAUUCUCACGGGUCUUGACUUCGACUUCAAUCUGAUAGUCUUUGCUCUUGUUGCAAGGACAAAACCUACUUCCGUGAGCGAGGUGUACGCUCAACUUCUCACCUUCGAGA
Molecule: small nucleolar RNA, 139 nt
Organism: Phragmites australis (common reed)
Lineage: Eukaryota; Viridiplantae; Streptophyta; Magnoliopsida; Poales; Poaceae
Product: small nucleolar RNA Z247
Exons: 1
Source: RefSeq, a predicted model, not a curated record